Molecule: ribosomal RNA, 781 nt
Filed under: Clostridioides difficile
Lineage: Bacteria; Bacillati; Bacillota; Clostridia; Peptostreptococcales; Peptostreptococcaceae
Description: bacterial LSU rRNA
Rfam family: Bacterial large subunit ribosomal RNA
Source: RNAcentral
GGGAGUGAAAUAGAACCUGAAACCCUGCACUUACAAGCUGUGGAAGCACAUUUCUUGUGUGACCGCGUACUUUUUGUAGAACGGGCCAACGAGUUACGUUAAGUAGCAAGGUUAAGCACUUAAGGUGCGGAGCCGUAGCGAAAGCGAGUUUUAACUGAGCGUUCAGUUACUUGACGUAGACCCGAAACCGGGCGACCUACCCAUGAGCAGGAUGAAGCGAAAGUAAAAUUUCGUGGAGGUCCGCACCCACGGGCGUUGAAAAGCUCGGGGAUGACUUGUGGGUAGCGGUGAAAUUCCAAUCGAGCCCGGAGAUCGCUGGUUCCACCCGCAAUAGCUUUAUGGCUAGCCUCAAGGUGAGAGAUACGGAGGUAGAGCACUGAAUGUCCUAGGGGGUAUUGCACCUACCGAAGACUAUCAAACUCCGAAUGCCGUCAUCUUAUACUUGGGAGUCAGACUGUGGGUGAUAAGAUUCAUAGUCGAAAGGGCAACAGCCCAGAUCGUCAGCUAAGGUCCCUAAAUGUAAGUUAAGUGGUAAAGGAUGUGGGAUUGCACAGACAACCAGGAUGUUGGCUUAGAAGCAGCCACUCAUUCAAAGAGUGCGUAAUAGCUCACUGGUCGAGUGAUCCUGCGCCGAAGAUUUCCGGGGCUAAAACUUACUACCGAAGCUACGGCAUCAGUAAUGAUGGGUAGGGGAGCUUCCCAUACGGGUUGAAGCAUGACCGUAAGGACAUGUGGACAGUAUGGGAGUGAGAAUGUUGGCAUGAGUAGCGAGAUGUGGGUG